This is a long non-coding RNA of Zea mays, 341 nucleotides long. RefSeq lists it as uncharacterized. NCBI's taxonomy places the organism in Eukaryota, Viridiplantae, Streptophyta, Magnoliopsida, Poales, Poaceae. The record is from RefSeq and is a predicted model, not a curated record. The transcript is spliced from 4 exons.
UUGAUGCUUUAUGCAAGCUUUCUGUAGAUUCCGAUGCUAAUGUACAAAGUGCAGCUCACCUUCUUGACAGGCUUGUCAAGGAUAUCGUAACCGAGAGUGACCAGUUCAGCAUAGAAGAAUUCAUACCGCUUUUGAGAGAGCGCAUGAAUGUGCUGAAUCCUUAUGUAAGACAAUUUUUGGUGGGGUGGAUAACAAUGUUAGACAGUGUUCCUGAUAUUGACAUGCUUGGUUUCCUUCCUGAUUUUCUCGAUGGUUUAUUCAAUAUGCUGAGUGAUUCCAGCCAUGAGAUAAGGCAGCAAGCUGAUGCAGCACUUUUUGAGUUUUUGCAGGAGAUAAAGAAC